Molecule: long non-coding RNA, 2144 nt
Filed under: Homo sapiens (human)
Lineage: Eukaryota; Metazoa; Chordata; Mammalia; Primates; Hominidae
Description: HSALNT0361888
Source: RNAcentral
AAUCAGCGAGACUCCGUGGGCGUAGGACCCUCCGAGCCAGGUGCGGGAUAUAAUCUCGUGGUGCGACGCUUUUUAAGCCCUUCAGAAAAGCGCAGUGUUCGGGUGGGAGUGACCCGAUUUUCCAGGUGCCGCCCGUCACCCCUUUCUUUGACUCAGAAAGGGAACUCCCUGACCCCUUGCGCUUCCCAAGUGAGGCAAUGCCUCGCCCUGCUUCGGCUCGCGCACGGUGCGCGCACCCGCUGACCUGCACCCACUGUCUGGCACUCCUUAGUGAGAUGAACCCGGUACCUCAGAUGGAAAUGCAGAAAUCACCCGUCUUCUGCGUCGCUCACGCUGGGAGCUGUAGACCGGAGCUGUUCCUAUUCGGCCAUCUUGGCUCCUCCUGUAACAAUUUCUUGAGAUGAAGAUCCUGAAUACCAAAGAGGGCCGCUGACAGGUCUAGGAGUACACUUCUAGCACCUAGCAGAGAGAGGCUUCACUACAUCAUGCUUCCUGACAUCUCUCCCUUUGAAGAGCAGUCAGACUCCUGCUUUGCUCUUCAGACUUAAUUUGGGGGUUUAACAGCCAUGUGAAGUGCUCACUCCCCCUUUGCCUUCUGCCAUGAUUGUGUGUUUCCUGAGGCCUCCCCAGAAGCUGAGAAGAUGCUUCCUGUACAGCCUGCAGAACUGGAUAGCCCAGAGCUAUUCCAUGUAUUCCAUGGAUGGGCACAUUUGGAAGUUUGGUUCUAAAAUCUAAAAGAAGAAAUUUAAGUGUGCUGAAGAUAACUGCAACUCCAAACCUAACGCUGUGUAAUUCUAUGUUCUGCCAUUUUGAAGCAAAGUGGAACCAGAAGUGAGAGGACUAUUUCUAGGUCAUGCUACGGUUACCCUGACCCCAGUCACUCCCUAUGCUGGUCCAUCCAAACUCAGAGCCACGAUCAAGGCCCUUCUACAACACAGAUGUGAUUACUUCACUCUCUUUUGUGGGGUAAAUAUAAGCCAAGAGCCAAGCAGGUGCACUGUGGAGGAAGGGAGAAUGCAAGAAGAAAAAAAGAAAGCCCGCCAGGCGCGGUGGCUCACGCCUGCAAUCCCAGCACUUUGGGAGGCCAAGGUGGGCGGAUCAUGAGGUCAAGAGAUCAAGACCAUCCUGGCCAACAUGGUGAAACCCCAUCUCUACUAAAAAUACAAAAAUUAGCUGGGUGUGAUGCCGGUAGUCCUUGUAGCACCUGUAGCUACUCGGGAGGCUGAGGCAGGAGAAUCACUUGAACCCGGGGGCAGAGGUUGCAGUGAGCCGAGAUCGCUCCACUGCACUCUAGCCUGGUGACAGAGGAAGACUCCGUCUCAAAAAAAAAAGAAAAAGAAAGCCUAGGAGACAUGUACAAACUUGUAGGCAUUUGAGAAGUUAUGUUCAUUUGAUUAAAAUCAGAAAGACACAACUCGGAAAAUGUAAAAUACAGAUGAAAAAAUGAAAGCAAUCAUCUUCUUAAACUUAUAAAGAUCUUAAACUCAUUUCUCUGGCUUUAAAAGAAGAGCAUCAGUAUGGAGAAGCUAAGGGGAUGGCAUAUCUGAGCCCUUGUUGGGAAAACUCUUAAUCGCCUGCAGGUUUAGGACCAAGCAGGGCAUAUAAGCCACUUCAUGGUUUGGCCCCUUCCUUCUUCUCUGUUGCCUAACAAUUUUAACUUCACCAAUAUUAAACUAAUUGCAGUUUUCCAAACCUAUCCUACUAUUUUACCCUUUGAUGAUUUUCUGCCUGCCUUUUUCUUUGUUGAGAAUUUCCUUACUUUCUAUCUAUCUUUGCCUGACAAACUGAUUGAUUCUCCAAAGUGCAACUCAAGUAUUACCUCAUUUCUGAGGAUCAUUCCUUCAUCCCUUCAAGUUCCUUCUUCUGUGUCAUCAUUAACUUUCUAUGUGUGGUUUUAAUGUACUUCAAGUAAUGUCUUAUACUUAUUUUCUCAUGGCUAUUGUUCCCUUUCAGACUUGAUAAGUCCUCAAGGAGAGAAUCUAUGUCUUUUAAAAAAAUCUUGAUAUUUCCUUACAGAGGUCCUGGCACAAAAUAGAUACCCAAUAUAUGUGCAACUGAAUAGAAAUUUAUGAGGGAGUGAUAAUUAUCCGUGUCUUCCUUUCAGCUAUGACUGUGUCCCAUGAUAAAAGUUUUUUGGAUGAUGA